UACGUAGGUGGCAAGCGUUGUCCGGAUUUAUUGGGCGUAAAGCGCGCGCAGGCGGUUCGUUAAGUCCGAGGUGAAAUCUCCUGGCUCAACUGGGAGGGGUCUUCGGAUACUGGCGGACUUGAGGAGAGCAGAGGUGAGUGGAAUUCUCGGUGUAGUGGUGAAAUGCGUAGAUAUCGAGAGGAACACCAGCGGCGAAGGCGGCUCACUGGGCUCCGCCUGACGCUGAGGCGCGAAAGCGUGGGGAGAGAACCGG
This 253-nucleotide ribosomal RNA is filed under the name uncultured bacterium. RNAcentral describes it as "partial 16S ribosomal RNA". It matches the Rfam family "Bacterial small subunit ribosomal RNA", at positions 524 to 776 of the family's 1533-position model. The record is from RNAcentral.